CACGCCACCACAAGAAAGCGGAAACGCAUCGUAGAGCGAGAGCCAUGUGGGAUCCUUGCUCCUGAUAUCCUGAUGUAUGGGAUGCACUUCAUUAUAUGACUCCAACAGAACACUCACAGAAAGGAGAAUGGUGUCAAACUACAAGACAGCCAGCAUGUAAACAAGGCCUUGUUUGUCCUUGUUUGGCUACUCAUUUGUUUACUUCCUGAAGAGGCUGAAGCAUGCUGGCCUUGACACCUCAGUCCUUGCUUCCAUUAACAGGUUGUCAGCUGUUGUCAGGCUCAUCACCAAAGCAGAAAGACAUAGUGAGACCAGACAUGCCAGGAAGGAGCAAGGCACAGGCCAGGAAGGAGCAAGGCAAAGCCCAGGAAUUUUUCUGCAGCUGUUCCCGCCAGCUAUCGAAGGACUGCUCCUGAGAAUAGAUGGGUGUCUACAUUGUUUUGCAAAAUGGGUCUUCUACACAUGAUGCUUGUCAAGCACUGCUCAUUGACUGGUCACGGGUCCUCUGUAUUGUGGCCACUGGUCAAAGGCGCCACAUGACUGUCUCAGAGUCCUCUACAUCAUUCCGGUGACGGGACUUCUGGCCUAGCCUGACAGGAUGGGUCUUGUGUUACUGUGACCAGACAGCUCAACAAUGCGUCAUCGCUCAUCCAUGCCCUCAUCGCCUCAAGACUGGAGUACUACAACAGCAUUCUCUAUGGUCUUGAAAAAUAUUAUUGUCUUUAUUAUUAUUAUUAUUAUUAUUAUUAUUAUUAUUAUUAUAAGUACAGGUCUCUCUGCAUCCGAACCAGCAGGUUCAGAGGAAGCUUCUUUUCUGUAGCUGUCAUCCGACUGGACUGUAGCUCUGUAUCCCGGUGACAACCCAUCAACUAAGCCCCCAAUACCCUAUCCCACCCAUAGUGUUAUUUAUUUACAAAUGCACAUACUGUAAUUAUAAUUAUACAUAACCAUAUUCUACUGCUCUUCAUAUUAUCCAUCCUGAACAUACACUUCUUACUACUCUUAUAAUGUUACUGUAGCUGUACGUACUAUACAUAUCUGUGUAUAUGGUUCAUAUCUGAAUAUCAUUUAUUCUGUUUCUCAUAUGUUCUGUUAAUACACUGCACAACCCAUAUUUAUAUAUAAUUUAUAUGACUCUA
This is a long non-coding RNA of Alosa sapidissima (American shad), 1139 nucleotides long. RefSeq lists it as uncharacterized. Lineage: Eukaryota; Metazoa; Chordata; Actinopteri; Clupeiformes; Clupeidae. The record is from RefSeq and is a predicted model, not a curated record. The transcript has 3 exons.